This 289-nucleotide long non-coding RNA is filed under the name Pan troglodytes (chimpanzee). RNAcentral's name for it is "long non-coding RNA NONPTRT011159". Lineage: Eukaryota; Metazoa; Chordata; Mammalia; Primates; Hominidae. The record is from RNAcentral.
GGGGUGCGUGCUGUUCAGAGCCUCCAUCUUCAGCAUUGAGGCUGCCUGCACAGCAGGGGCUGGGGAAAAAGCCGCAGGUUAGAACUCUCCCCCAGGUCCUGGGCACAGGGAGGUGGGGGAAGGAGAAAGGAAUGUGCUGUGUUGGAACCGUUACCCCAAAGUCCGCGCUCACUGAAAAUUAGCUCAUGCUUCGUGCGGCUCCUGGGGAAUAACCAUUAUUGGGCUACAGGUUUUCAGAGGCAGCUGAAUCCCAUAAUCUGGAUGAAAGACAGUUGGAAGCAAGUGCGGG